UCUUAUUAAGAGUGGCGGAGGGAAAGGCCCUAUGAUGCCCGGCAACCGUCUUGUCCUGCGGACAAGAAAAUUGGUGCCAAUUCCUGCGGAGCGAACAGCUCCGGCAAAUGAGA
This 113-nucleotide non-coding RNA is filed under the name Gorillibacterium timonense. RNAcentral's name for it is "SAM riboswitch (S box leader)". It matches the Rfam family "SAM riboswitch aptamer (S box leader)". From Rfam's summary of the family: The SAM riboswitch is found upstream of a number of genes which code for proteins involved in methionine or cysteine biosynthesis in Gram-positive bacteria. The SAM riboswitch acts at the level of transcription termination control. The predicted structure consists of a complex stem-loop region followed by a single stem loop terminator region. The record is from RNAcentral. Lineage: Bacteria; Bacillati; Bacillota; Bacilli; Caryophanales; Paenibacillaceae.